CCAGACUCCUACGGGAGGCAGCAGUGGGGAAUAUUGCGCAAUGGGCGAAAGCCUGACGCAGCGACGCCGCGUGAGGGAUGAAGGUCUUCGGAUCGUAAACCUCUGUCAGCAGGGAAGAACGGUCACUGUGCUAAUCAGCAGUGAAUUGACGGUACCUGCAAAGGAAGCACCGGCUAACUCCGUGCCAGCAGCCGCGGUAAUACGGAGGGUGCGAGCGUUAAUCGGAAUUACUGGGCGUAAAGCGCUCGUAGGCGGUAUGUCAAGUCAAGGGUGAAAUCCCCGCGCUCAACGUGGGAACUGCCUUUGAAACUGGCAAACUGGAGUGUGUGAGAGGAUAGUGGAAUUCCAGGUGUAGGAGUGAAAUCCGUAGAUAUCUGGAGGAACAUCAGUGGCGAAGGCGACUAUCUGGCACAUAACUGACGCUGAGGAGCGAAAGCGUGGGUAGCAAACAGGAUUAGAUACCCCAGUA
This 469-nucleotide ribosomal RNA is filed under the name uncultured bacterium. RNAcentral describes it as "bacterial SSU rRNA". It matches the Rfam family "Bacterial small subunit ribosomal RNA", at positions 331 to 792 of the family's 1533-position model. The record is from RNAcentral.